This 164-nucleotide ribosomal RNA is filed under the name Plectocephalus varians. Its description in RNAcentral is "5.8S ribosomal RNA". It matches the Rfam family "5.8S ribosomal RNA". From Rfam's summary of the family: 5.8S ribosomal RNA (5.8S rRNA) is a component of the large subunit of the eukaryotic ribosome. The record is from RNAcentral. Lineage: Eukaryota; Viridiplantae; Streptophyta; Magnoliopsida; Asterales; Asteraceae.
UAAACGACUCUCGGCAACGGAUAUCUCGGCUCACGCAUCGAUNAAGAACGUAGCAAAAUGCGAUACUUGGUGUGAAUUGCAGAAUCCCGUGAACCAUCGAGUUUUUGAACGCAAGUUGCGCCCGAAGCCAUUCGGCCGAGGGCACGUCUGCCUGGGCGUCACGC